CCCCCGCGAAUCUUUCGCCUCUUGUCCUGCCUGAUUUCUGCAGGAUCUUUAGGGUCUUUGUUUGAAAUGUUCUCCGGGACCUCCGCCUCUAGUGGUUCCAGGAGUUUGUCUGCCUCAGCCCCUCAGAACCCCCUCACUGUAGACGAACCCUCAUCUAGGGCUGGGCCUUACCCGAUUUUUGUGCCAAGUGCCAUUCCCUAUU
Molecule: long non-coding RNA, 202 nt
Filed under: Elaeis guineensis (African oil palm)
Lineage: Eukaryota; Viridiplantae; Streptophyta; Magnoliopsida; Arecales; Arecaceae
Description: long non-coding RNA (EGUI_LNC060506)
Source: RNAcentral